GUUAAUUUGCCAAUAGAAAUUAAAUUGUAUGGACAUUUAGGUAUAAAUAAAACUGAGUUUAUAGAAACAGAAAGAAGAUGUUGAACUUCUCCUAUUUCGUUAAUCACAAUUUGUGAGCCAUUAGCCAGUGUAACUUUAGAGGAAAUUGAAGGAGAUUUAAGAUCAGAGAAAAGGUUUUUAUUACUAGAGAUAUGAUUUGAUGCACCAAAGUCUAGUAUCCAUGAUCCAAUAGGUGUAGAAUUGCUCAAAUAAGCAAAAGAAUUACCAAAAGUGCCAGAUGAGGAUGACUGUU
Molecule: unclassified non-coding RNA, 292 nt
Filed under: Hevea brasiliensis (rubber tree)
Lineage: Eukaryota; Viridiplantae; Streptophyta; Magnoliopsida; Malpighiales; Euphorbiaceae
Source: RNAcentral